GCCACCCUAGCUCAAUCGGCAGAGCAGACGCUUCGUAAGCGCCAGGUUUUGGGUUCAAUUCCCAAGGGUGGCUC
Molecule: transfer RNA, 74 nt
Filed under: Chloroflexi bacterium ADurb.Bin222
Lineage: Bacteria; Bacillati; Chloroflexota
Also listed under: 1 other name
Description: tRNA-Thr
Rfam family: tRNA
About the family: Transfer RNA (tRNA) molecules are approximately 80 nucleotides in length. Their secondary structure includes four short double-helical elements and three loops (D, anti-codon, and T loops).
Source: RNAcentral